This 242-nucleotide long non-coding RNA is filed under the name Gallus gallus (chicken). Its description in RNAcentral is "long non-coding RNA NONGGAT001574". Lineage: Eukaryota; Metazoa; Chordata; Aves; Galliformes; Phasianidae. The record is from RNAcentral.
GCUGAGUGCUAUGGGGAAGGGUCUCUGAUUGAAGAUCCUUCCCUCAUGGAGUUUUCCCUGCAAGCUGAGAUCUUCACACAGAGAAAGUGCAUUGAAUGCAGAAUCCUUUGGCAUGGGAAAAACCUCAGGAAGCACAAUACUGCAACCUCUGCAGCCGCUCUGACCUACUGGAAUUGAACUCUGAUCUUCUGCAUAAUAAAGAUGAGUACUUCUUAGUGAUGCAAAUUUAGGAAAGGUUAGUG